Molecule: transfer RNA, 74 nt
Filed under: Salmo salar (Atlantic salmon)
Lineage: Eukaryota; Metazoa; Chordata; Actinopteri; Salmoniformes; Salmonidae
Also listed under: 1 other name
Rfam family: tRNA
About the family: Transfer RNA (tRNA) molecules are approximately 80 nucleotides in length. Their secondary structure includes four short double-helical elements and three loops (D, anti-codon, and T loops).
Source: Rfam by way of RNAcentral
GUCUCUGUGGCGCAAUUGGCUAAUGCGUUAGACUGUUAAUCUAAAGGUUGGUGGUUGGAGCCCACCCAGGGACG